GCUAUUUUGGCAGAUUAGUGCGGUAAAUUUAGAAUUUAUUAAUAUAGUUAAUACUAUAAAUAGUA
This 65-nucleotide transfer RNA is filed under the name Nysius ericae. Its description in RNAcentral is "tRNA-Leu". Lineage: Eukaryota; Metazoa; Arthropoda; Insecta; Hemiptera; Lygaeidae. RNAcentral also lists the same sequence under 1 other name. The record is from RNAcentral.